AUGGUACUUCCUCCGUUUAAAAAUUCUUGUCUUAAAUUUAUCUAAAUACGAAUGUAUUAAAUCACGUUUUGGUAUUAGAUACAUCUGUAUCUAGACUAAUCUAAGAAAAGAAUUUUGGGACGGAGGGAGCACUUA
Non-coding RNA from Triticum aestivum (bread wheat), 135 nucleotides. Lineage: Eukaryota; Viridiplantae; Streptophyta; Magnoliopsida; Poales; Poaceae. The record is from Rfam.